UGAACGCUGGCGGCGUGCCUACUACAUGCACAUCGAGCGAACAGACGAGGAGCUUGCUCCUCUGACGUUAGCGGCGGACGGGUGAGUAACACGUGGAUAACCUACCUAUAAGACUGGGAUAACUUCGGGAAACCGGAGCUAAUACCGGAUAAUAUAUUGAACCGCAUGGUUCAAUAGUGAAAGACGGUUUUGCUGUCACUUAUAGAUGGAUCCGCGCCGCAUUAGCUAGUUGGUAAGGUAACGGCUUACCAAGGCAACGAUGCGUAGCCGACCUGAGAGGGUGAUCGGCCACACUGGAACUGAGACACGGUCCAGACUCCUACGGGAGGCAGCAGUAGGGAAUCUUCCGCAAUGGGCGAAAGCCUGACGGAGCAACGCCGCGUGAGUGAUGAAGGUCUUCGGAUCGUAAAACUCUGUUAUUAGGGAAGAACAAAUGUGUAAGUAACUAUGCACGUCUUGACGGUACCUAAUCAGAAAGCCACGGCUAACUACGUG
Molecule: ribosomal RNA, 495 nt
Filed under: uncultured bacterium
Lineage: Bacteria
Description: partial 16S ribosomal RNA
Rfam family: Bacterial small subunit ribosomal RNA
Source: RNAcentral